RNAcentral lists this ribosomal RNA (420 nucleotides) under Triticum aestivum (bread wheat). RNAcentral describes it as "partial small subunit ribosomal RNA". The record is from RNAcentral. Lineage: Eukaryota; Viridiplantae; Streptophyta; Magnoliopsida; Poales; Poaceae.
GUUGAUAUGUCAGUUAAAGCUAUAUACUCUGACCCUGCCAAGAGGCCUCUUUGUCUUCAGAAUGCCGAGCACCAAAGCUUCACUCAACCCAUUGAAGGUGUUCAAGCAGCAACACGAAUCUAUCCAUUGGCUGGAAAUACUCGUCUGCCUCAUCGAGCACCUACUGAAGCCACUGAAAGCACCAUUGCACAAAGGCCUCGGAAGCGUUCUCGCGUUCUCAAUGACCGAGAACUUCUUGUGGCCCUUCAUCAGAAACAUGAUAAGCAUCAUUUUUGGCUCAAGAGACAGAUGCAAAGCCUCUUGGUGGAUGUCAAUCGCAUUCGCAACCUUGCCACCAAGAAUGCCUUUGUUGCUCAUGAAACUUGCAGGCGAUCAUGGAAGAGUUUGACCCUGCUUAGUGCUGAAGCAGAUCUUCAAGAC